Molecule: long non-coding RNA, 214 nt
Filed under: Elaeis guineensis (African oil palm)
Lineage: Eukaryota; Viridiplantae; Streptophyta; Magnoliopsida; Arecales; Arecaceae
Description: long non-coding RNA (EGUI_LNC037072)
Source: RNAcentral
CAGUCCAUGAUGUGCUUCAUAGAUCUUCCUAUUUCAUUCUGGGGAUAUGUUCUAGAAACUACUGUCUAUGUUUUAAAUAAAGUAUGAUCUAAAUCUGUCACUAGUACUUCAUAUGAAAUAUAAAAAGGCAAAAGAUCCAAUCUUAAAUAUCUUAAGAUUUGGGGUUAUCCCGCUUAUGUCAAAAGUAUUUUUAAACAUAAGUUAAAUGCUAGGA